Sebastes umbrosus (honeycomb rockfish) is the source of this 178-nucleotide long non-coding RNA. RefSeq lists it as uncharacterized. The transcript is spliced from 3 exons. NCBI's taxonomy places the organism in Eukaryota, Metazoa, Chordata, Actinopteri, Perciformes, Sebastidae. The record is from RefSeq and is a predicted model, not a curated record.
CCGGCACAACUCACCGCCUCUGGAAACUACCUAGAAACUUUUAAUCUAACCGUUGUCAAAUCUAAAAUGAAGACAGAUUCAGCAACUGCAUGGCUUAUCUCUUGCACAAAAUGUUUUCAGAAACACAUUUCGCUGUUAAAAGAAAUAAAGUGCAAGUUCCGCUCAAGGAGAACUCUUG